Non-coding RNA from Sus scrofa (pig), 875 nucleotides. The record is from RefSeq and is a predicted model, not a curated record. NCBI's taxonomy places the organism in Eukaryota, Metazoa, Chordata, Mammalia, Artiodactyla, Suidae.
UGCCUCGUCCAUGACACACACGAAACCUCGCCCUUCCCUCCACCCCUUACACCGCCCACCGUCGCUCAAAUAAGGACAACAGAGGUACAGAGGCUUCUCUAAGUAGCUAGCGCACAAUCCACGCCCACAAGGAUGGGCCGAGCAGCAUGACACUGACAGUUUUCGGUCCCUCACGAUCUUUCCAACUCUCGGCACCGCCGCACAACUCAGAAAAAGACCACAUGGCCUGUUCUGCCAAGUCUCACCGGCUAAAGAAAACCCCAAAAUUAGUCCUGAUGGUCCUAGACCGAGAGAUAGAAGAGCGGGCUUGGGGGUGGAGAUGAGUCCGCCCCGAAGAGUCACCAAUCAGCUGUCGUCCAGCCGCCAGAAGAGCAAGUUAAUACUACACAGCUUGGAAGAGACCAGUUCCCAAACAUGCCAGCGGAGAAAUUCAGCCUAGACUCCAGGAGUGCUUGAGGCUUUUAUGACUUCUGGACGUCAAAAAGGGUCUUUUGUGACUGGAUGCUUACCUCACCAGUGUGUGGUUAGCGUCAAAGGCACAAUGAUAUUGAUUUAAAGCCUGUGGAUAACAACAUAAGCUGAUUUUUCUAUCUUAAAACUCUUAGCCAAGAACACUCCUGUCACAGGUGCUGGUACUAGGCCCGCAAAUAAACCACCCAGGUUUUAUUUGCCUCAGUUUUAAAACAGUGGCUAAAAAGCAUUAAAUUUCCUAGUCAACUGGGAAUGACAGGUCUAAAUAACAAAUGGUACUUGAACCGCACUAAGUUGUGUGGGCGUAGAGAAACUUCAGCAAAAGCUUUUGUCAUGUUUAACCCCUGUGUACAGAUAUUUUUCAUGGGAUUUUUCUAUUUAGUUACAUACACAUUUUAAAAUAA